This 231-nucleotide ribosomal RNA is filed under the name uncultured bacterium. Its description in RNAcentral is "partial 16S ribosomal RNA". It matches the Rfam family "Bacterial small subunit ribosomal RNA", at positions 109 to 334 of the family's 1533-position model. The record is from RNAcentral.
AGUAACACGUGGGUAACCUGCCCUGAUGAUUGGGGCAACCCGAGGAAACUCGGGCUAAUACCGAAUGUGCCCUCCGGCCAUAAGGCCGCUGGGGAAAGGAAGCUUCGGCCUCCGCAUCGGGAUGGGCCCGCGGCCCAUUAGCUUGUUGGUGAGGUAACGGCUCACCAAGGCGACGAUGGGUAGCUGGUCUGAGAGGACGAUCAGCCACACUGGGACUGAGACACGGCCCAG